AAAGAGUUAAAUAUUUAAUAAAAUUUAUCGUUUUAAAGAUAUUUUAAAUAAGUAUUUUGAAAUGAAACGUUAUUCGUUUUUAAAUAUAUCUAGUUUUUUUAGAAAAAAAUUUAAUUUUAAAUUUAAAAAUUUAAAAUUUUAAUUAAUUAAAAUUUUAAAUUUUUAAAUUUUAUAUUUUAAGGGAUAAGCUUUAAAAAUUAAAUUUUUAUAAUUAAUAAUUAAUAUUUAUUGAAAUUUUUAUAAUUUAUAUUAUUAAAAAAUUUUAAUUUGUUAUACAUAAUUUCAUUAUUAAUUAAAAUUUAAUUAAAAUUUAAUUUUAUAUAAAAAAAUUAUUUUUAAUGGUUAAAAUUAAAAUAUAAUGAUAAAAUUAGUAUAUUUAAAUUAAUAUAGAAAUUUAAUUUAUAUUAUUUAUUUAAUUAAUAAAUUAAAAGGAAUUCGGCAAAUUAUAAUAUUCACUUGUUUAACAAAAACAUGUCUUUUUGUAAUUAAUUUAAAGUCUAAUCUGCCCACUGAUUUUAAUAAAUUGAAGGGCUGCAGUAUAUUGACUGUACAAAGGUAGCAUAAUCAUUAGUCUCUUAAUUGGUGACUUGUAUGAAAGAUUGAAUGAAAUAUAUACUGUCUCUUAAUUUAUUUAUAGAAUUUAAUUUUUUAUUUAAAAAGUUAAAAUUUUUUAAAAAGACGAGAAGACCCUAUAGAGUUUUAUUAUUAAAUUUAUUAUAAUUUAUUUAUAAAUUUAUAUAUUUAAUAAUUUUAUUAAUUUUAUUGGGGUGAUAAAAAAAUAAAAUUAACUUUUUUUAAAUUUUAACAUUGAUAGUUGAAAUAUUGAUCCAUUAUUAUUGAUUAUAAGAUUAAAUUACCUUAGGGAUAACAGCGUAAUUUUUUUUUUUAGUUCGUAUAAGAAAAAAAGUUUGCGACCUCGAUGUUGGAUUAAGAUAAAAUUUAAAUGCAAAAGUUUAAAAUUUUUG
This 965-nucleotide ribosomal RNA is filed under the name Agathia sp. ja001. RNAcentral describes it as "partial 16S rRNA". Lineage: Eukaryota; Metazoa; Arthropoda; Insecta; Lepidoptera; Geometridae. The record is from RNAcentral.